RNAcentral lists this ribosomal RNA (451 nucleotides) under uncultured bacterium. RNAcentral's name for it is "partial 16S ribosomal RNA". It matches the Rfam family "Bacterial small subunit ribosomal RNA", at positions 29 to 523 of the family's 1533-position model. The record is from RNAcentral.
AGCGAACGCUGGCGGCAGGCCUAAAACAUGCAAGUCGAGCGCUCGUAGCAAUACGGGAGCGGCAGACGGGUGAGUAACACGUGGGAACGUACCCUUUGGUUCGGAACAACCCAGGGAAACUUGGGCUAAUACCGGAUAAGUCCGCAAGGAGAAAGAUUUAUCGCCGAAGGAUCGGCCCGCGUCUGAUUAGCUUGUUGGUGAGGUAACGGCUCACCAAGGCGACGAUCAGUAGCUGGCCUGAGAGGAUGAUCAGCCACACUGGGACUGAGACACGGCCCAGACUCCUACGGGAGGCAGCAGUUAGGAAUCUUGGACAAUGGGCGCAAGCCUGAUCCAGCCAUGCCGCGUGAGUGAUGAAGGCCCUAGGGUUGUAAAGCUCUUUCAGCGGGGAAGAUAAUGACGGUACCCGCAGAAGAAGCCCCGGCUAACUUCGUGCCAGCAGCCGCGGUAA